RNAcentral lists this unclassified non-coding RNA (330 nucleotides) under soil metagenome. RNAcentral's name for it is "partial contains 5.8S ribosomal RNA, internal transcribed spacer 2, and large subunit ribosomal RNA". The stretch from base 1 to 120 matches the Rfam family "5.8S ribosomal RNA", at positions 35 to 154 of the family's 154-position model. The record is from RNAcentral.
GAUGAAGAACGCAGCGAAAUGCGAUAAGUAAUGUGAAUUGCAGAAUUCAGUGAAUCAUCGAAUCUUUGAACGCACAUUGCGCCCCCUGGUAUUCCGGGGGGCAUGCCUGUUCGAGCGUCAUUUCACCACUCAAGCCUCGCUUGGUAUUGGGCAACGCGGUCCGCCGCGUGCCUCAAAUCGACCGGCUGGGUCUUCUGUCCCCUAAGCGUUGUGGAAACUAUUCGCUAAGGGUGCUCGGGAGGCUACGCCGUAAAACAAACCCAUUUCUAAGGUUGACCUCGGAUCAGGUAGGGAUACCCGCUGAACUUAAGCAUAUCAAUAAGCGGAGGA